UGUUGAUGGUGAUGAUCAUGAUCAUGAUGAUAAUGAUGAUGAUGAUGGUGAUGAUCAUGAUCAUGAUGAUGAUGAUGAUGAUGAUCAUAA
Paramuricea clavata is the source of this 90-nucleotide non-coding RNA. Lineage: Eukaryota; Metazoa; Cnidaria; Anthozoa; Malacalcyonacea; Plexauridae. The record is from the annotation of a GenBank genome assembly.